GUGCAGCAGUCGAGAAUACUUUACAAUGUGCGAAAGCACGAUAAGGGAACUCUGAGUGCCUCCUAAGGAGGCUGUUCAGGUGUCUAAAAAGCACCUGGAGUAAGGGCUGGGUAAGACCGGUGCCAGCCGCCGCGGUAACACCGGCAGCCCAGGUGGUAGCCACUUUUAUUGGGUCUAAAGCGUCCGUAGCCGGUUGAGUAAGUUCCUUGGGAAAUUUGGCUGCUCAACAGUCAAGCUUCCAGGGAAUACUGCUCGACUUGGGACUGGGAGAGGUCAGAGGUACUCCAGGGAUAGGGGUGAAAUCCAUUAAUCCCUGGGGGACCACCGGUAGCGAAGGCGUCUGACCAGACCAGGUCCGACGGUGAGGGACGAAGGCUAGGGUCGCGAACCGGAUUAGAUACCCCCGUA
Molecule: ribosomal RNA, 408 nt
Filed under: uncultured microorganism
Description: bacterial SSU rRNA
Rfam family: Archaeal small subunit ribosomal RNA
Source: RNAcentral